AUUGAACGCUGGCGGCAUGCCUUACACAUGCAAGUCGAACGGUAACGGGCCUUCGGGUGCCGACGAGUGGCGAACGGGUGAGUAAUGUAUCGGAACGUACCUUUCAGUGGGGGAUAACGUAGCGAAAGUUACGCUAAUACCGCAUAUUCUGUGAGCAGGAAAGCGGGGGAUCGCAAGACCUUGCGCUGAUUGAGCGGCCGAUAUCAGAUUAGCUAGUUGGUGAGGUAAAGGCUCACCAAGGCGACGAUCUGUAGCGGGUCUGAGAGGAUGAUCCGCCACACUGGAACUGAGACACGGUCCAGACUCCUACGGGAGGCAGCAGUGGGGAAUUUUGGACAAUGGGGGCAACCCUGAUCCAGCCAUGCCGCGUGAGUGAAGAAGGCCUUCGGGUUGUAAAGCUCUUUCGGCCGGGAAGAAAUCGUAUGGGUUAGUACCCUGUGCGGAUGACGGUACCGGCAUAAGAAGCACCGGCUAACUACGUG
This 482-nucleotide ribosomal RNA is filed under the name uncultured bacterium. Its description in RNAcentral is "bacterial SSU rRNA". It matches the Rfam family "Bacterial small subunit ribosomal RNA", at positions 30 to 507 of the family's 1533-position model. The record is from RNAcentral.